This 914-nucleotide ribosomal RNA is filed under the name Sporormiella lignicola. RNAcentral describes it as "Preussia lignicola partial large subunit ribosomal RNA". It matches the Rfam family "Eukaryotic large subunit ribosomal RNA", at positions 36 to 964 of the family's 3401-position model. The record is from RNAcentral. Lineage: Eukaryota; Fungi; Ascomycota; Dothideomycetes; Pleosporales; Sporormiaceae.
AAUGCAUAUCAAUUAAGCGGAGGAAAAGAAACCAACAGGGAUUGCCCUAGUAACGGCGAGUGAAGCGGCAACAGCUCAAAUUUGAAAUCUGGCUCUUUACAGGGUCCGAGUUGUAAUUUGUAGAGGGUGCUUUGGAGUUGACUGUGGUCUAAGUUCCUUGGAACAGGACGUCGCAGAGGGUGAGAAUCCCGUAUGUGGCCGCCAGUCUUCUCCGUGUAAAGCCCCUUCGACGAGUCGAGUUGUUUGGGAAUGCAGCUCUAAAUGGGAGGUAAAUUUCUUCUAAAGCUAAAUAUUGGCCAGAGACCGAUAGCGCACAAGUAGAGUGAUCGAAAGAUGAAAAGCACUUUGGAAAGAGAGUCAAAAAGCACGUGAAAUUGUUGAAAGGGAAGCGCUUGCAGCCAGACUUGCCUGUAGUUGCUCAUCCGGGCUUUUGCCCGGUGCACUCUUCUAUAGGCAGGCCAGCAUCAGUCGCGGCGGUUGGAUAAUUGUCUGCACAAUGUACCUCUCUUCGGGGAGGACUUAUAGGGCAGGCGGCAUACAACCAGCUGCGAUUGAGGUCCGCGCAUCUGCUAGGAUGCUGGCGUAAUGGCUGUAAGCGGCCCGUCUUGAAACACGGACCAAGGAGUCUAACAUCUAUGCGAGUGUUUGGGUGUCAAGCCCGAGCGCGUAAUGAAAGUGAACGGAGGUGGGAACCCCUCGGGGUGCACCAUCGACCGAUCCUGAUGUCUUCGGAUGGAUUUGAGUAAGAGCAUAGCUGUUGGGACCCGAAAGAUGGUGAACUAUGCCUGAAUAGGGUGAAGCCAGAGGAAACUCUGGUGGAGGCUCGCAGCGGUUCUGACGUGCAAAUCGAUCGUCAAAUUUGGGGCAUAGGGGCGAAAGACUAAUCGAACUAUCUAGUAGCUGGUUCCUGCCCG